GGCCGUUGUGUCUCUGUAGUGGAAUGGAUAGCACGUUGGACUUCUAAUCCAAAGGCCGUGGGUUCGAUUCCCACCUAGAAUGGCCU
Molecule: non-coding RNA, 86 nt
Organism: Trichonephila clavata
Lineage: Eukaryota; Metazoa; Arthropoda; Arachnida; Araneae; Nephilidae
Source: the annotation of a GenBank genome assembly